Maniola jurtina (meadow brown) is the source of this 6606-nucleotide RNA transcript. It is a transcript of the gene named probable phospholipid-transporting ATPase IA, with no coding region annotated. Lineage: Eukaryota; Metazoa; Arthropoda; Insecta; Lepidoptera; Nymphalidae. The transcript has 27 exons. The record is from RefSeq and is a predicted model, not a curated record.
UCACAGGUUUUUUUGAUAACGCCACAAAUAACUUAAAUGUUAACUUACUUAUAGGAACUUAGUUAGGUACUUAAAUUAACAAAAGACUAAAACGGUGCUAAAAUCGAGUGUUCAAAGUGCAUAUCAUAAAAUGACCUAACUAAAAGAAAGAGAGGCCUAAAUGAAGAAUGAAUGUUUCAAUCUAUAAAAGAAAAUGACAAUUAGUGCCUCUAUCCCAAAAAAAGGCAGUGUUUCAAUCUAAAAAAACAAUGUUUCAAUCUUAAAAAGCAGUGUUUCAAAUACAAAGAGUGUUUCAAUUCUCAAAAAGUGUUUUUUCUAAAUAUAAGUUGAAAAUGACUCAUAUUACGAGAGUUUUAGUCGUAGUAUAAGAAUAGGGUUCCGUAAAGUUAUUCGUAGUUGAUUCUAAGUGAUAGUGGUGAUAAUGGUGGUGGUGGGGAGGUGAUGCGAUGGCGUGGCCGGGGGACGCUCCGGGCGCGGUGGAGCUGCCGCUGCACGAGGUCGCCAGCGCGGACGCGGUCGACAGCAUCGUGCCGGCUACUACCGUGCUGGAUGGACCGAGAAACAAUGAGGACGAGGUUACGACUUCGGGGCUGACGGACGGCGCGGCGGACGAGCAGCAGAACCGCGUCAUCUUCGUCAACCGGCCGCAGCCGCAGAAGUUCGUCUCCAACAGGAUAUCCACCGCCAAGUACAGCUUACCAUCGUUCGUCCCGUUGUUCCUGUUCGAGCAGUUCCGGCGCUACUCGAACUGCUUCUUCCUGCUGAUCGCGCUGCUGCAGCAGAUCCCCGACGUGUCGCCGACGGGGCGCUGGACCACGCUCACGCCGCUCAUCCUCAUCCUCACCGUCAGCGCCAUCAAGGAGAUCGUCGAGGACUUUAAACGCCACCGCGCGGAUGACGAGACCAACCGGCGGAAAGUGGAAGUGCUCAGCGACGGCCGCUGGCUCAGCAUCCGGUGGGAGAAGCUGCAGGUGGGGGACAUCUGCAAGGUGCUCAACAACCAGUUCUUUCCAGCCGACCUCGUCUUACUGGCCUCUAGCGAGCCCCAAGGCAUAUCCUUCAUCGAGACGUCCAACCUAGACGGGGAGACCAACCUGAAGAUCCGCCAAGCUAACCCUGACACUGCGCCGCUGGACAACGCCGCGGCGUUGGCGGAGUUCAGGGCCACGGUGCAGUGCGAGCCGCCCAACAGACAUCUCUACGAGUUCAAUGGCAUGCUGAAGGAGACCAACGCCAAAACCAUCCCCCUGGGGCUGGAGCAGAUGCUGCUGCGCGGCGCCAUGCUGCGCAACACGGCGUGGGUCAUCGCGCUCGUGGUGUACACGGGCCACGAGACCAAGCUCAUGAAGAACUCCACCAAAGCUCCGCUGAAGAGGUCGUCGAUCGACAAGCAAACCAACACUCAGAUCCUGAUGCUGUUCAUCAUUCUGCUGGUGCUGUCGCUGCUCAGCGGCAUCUUCAACGAGCUGUGGAUCCAGCAGCGCAAGUACACCGACUGGUACAUCGGCCUCAGCGAUGCGCAGAAUGCACAUUUCGGAUUUAACUUUUUAACGUUUUUGAUAUUAUACAACAAUCUUAUACCUAUAUCCUUACAAGUUACGGCUGAAAUUGUCCGAUUUUUCCAAGCGAAGUUCAUAGCGAUGGACAGUGAAAUGUACCACCCCGAGACCGACACGCCCGCUCUAGCGCGCACGUCCAACCUGAACGAGGAGCUGGGCAUGGUGCGCUACGUGUUCAGCGACAAGACCGGCACGCUCACUUGCAACGUCAUGGAGUUCCGCAAGUGCUCCAUUGCUGAGGUGAUAUACAACAAGCCCGGCCCCGACGAGAGGCUAGAAGACACGCUCCUGUAUCAGAACCUAGACAACAACCACCCCAGCGCCGCCGUCAUAUCGGAGUUCCUGACCAUGCUGGCCGUGUGUCACACCGUCAUCCCGGAGAUGAUAGACGGCAAAAUCAACUACCACGCCGCUUCGCCGGAUGAGCGCGCCCUGGUGGCGGGCGCGGCGGCGUGGGGCUGGGUGUUCAGCACGCGCACGCCCACCGCCGUCAGCGUGCGCGCGCGCGGACACACUCUGACCUACACCGUGCUGCACGUGCUCGCCUUCACCUCCGCGCGCAAGCGCAUGUCGGUCAUCGUGCGCGCGCCCACCGGAGAAAUAAAGCUGUACUGCAAAGGCGCGGACUCGGUGAUCUACCCGCGGCUGGCGGGCGGGCCGCACGCCGCGCCCUACGCCGAGGCCACGCUGGCGCACUUGGAGCACUUCGCCACGGAGGGGCUGCGGACCCUGGUCUUCGCCGUGGCGGAUAUACCGGAACACGUCUACAAGGACUGGUCGAACACAUACCACAAAGCGAGCAUAGCGAUACAAGAUCGAGAGCAGAAAAUUGAAGAAGCCGCCCUACUCAUUGAGAACAAUCUGCGCUUGCUCGGCGCGACCGCCAUCGAGGACAAGCUGCAGGACGGAGUUCCCGAAGCGAUAGCGGCUCUGCUAAAGGCCAACAUACAUGUGUGGGUGCUAACGGGCGACAAGCAGGAGACUGCCAUCAAUGUAGCUCAUUCCGCCAGACUGCUGCAUGCUGCCAUGCCUUUGCUGCUACUCAACGAGGACAGUUUAGACGGUACCCGAGAAAGCUUAUCGCGUCACUUGGCGGACUUCGGCGAGAACCUCCGCAAGGAGAACGAAGUGGCGCUCGUGAUCGACGGACAGACGCUCAAGUACGCCAUGGGCUGCGAUCUCAAGAAGGACUUCCUGGACCUGUGCGUGUCCUGCAAAGUUGUCGUGUGCUGCCGCGUCUCCCCUAUACAGAAGGCUGAGGUGGUGGAGAUGGUAUCGCGAGCGACCGGCGCGGUCACGUUGGCCAUCGGCGACGGAGCCAACGACGUGGCGAUGAUACAACGCGCUUCAGUGGGCAUCGGCAUAUCCGGUGUGGAAGGCUUGCAGGCGGUCUGCGCCUCUGAUUAUAGCAUUGCACAGUUCCGGUUUCUCGUACGACUUCUGUUGGUGCACGGCGCGUGGAACUACUCCCGCAUCAGCAAACUCAUCCUCUACUCUUUCUACAAGAACAUCUGCCUCUACGUCAUCGAACUCUGGUUCGCGAUAUACUCCGCGUGGUCUGGUCAAAUUCUCUUCGAGCGGUGGACGAUAGGGUUCUACAACGUCAUCUUCACCGCGCUGCCGCCGUUCGCCAUCGGCCUGUUCGACAAGAUCUGUUCACCCGAUAUCAUGUUGAGGCACCCGGUGCUGUACAUCCCGUCGCAGCAGGGGCUGCUGUUCAACGUGCGCGUGUUCUGGGUGUGGGCCGUCAACGCGCUGCUGCACUCCAUGCUGCUGUUCUGGCUGCCCGUGCUGUUGACUCAGCACCACGUGCUGUGGCCGCACGGCCGCGACGGCGGCUACCUCGUGCUGGGCAACUUCGUCUAUACCUUCGUGGUAGCGACGGUAUGCCUCAAGGCCGGGCUCGCGACGCACUCGUGGACGUGGGUGACGCACGUGUCUAUCUGGGGCUCCAUAGCGCUGUGGUUCCUCUUCAUCCUCGUCUACAGUAACAUGUACCCGAUGAUUCUGAUCGGCGCGGUGAUGCGCGGCAUGGACCGCAUGGUUUUCUCUUCGUUGGUGUUCUGGUUCGGCUUGCUGCUGGUGCCUGCCGCCGCGCUGCUGCCGGAUCUCGUCGUCACUGUAAUACAUAACUCUGCCUUCAAAACAAUGACGGAGGCGGUGCGAGAGAGCGAGAUCAAGAAGAGGGACCCUGCCGCGCUGCUCGCACAGCCCCGCCACUCUGUUUUUUCAAGUUGGACUUACCUGAAGUGUUAUGUUCGAGGAAUGACGGCUUUUAUGUGCGCGACGGACGCGCGGCACGCCGUGGCCCGGCUGGCCCAGUCCUCACGGAGACCGCGCGGCUGCUGCACAACGUGCGCAGCGUGUUCGGGCGCCGCUCCGCCGCGCGCGCAACCACGGAGCUCGAGCUGUCACAUGGAUUCGCAUUCUCUCAAGAGGAGGGCGCAAGUGUGUCGCAGGCGGACGUCAUCCGCGCGUACGACACCAGCCAGCCGCGGCCGCGCUCCUGAGCUGACCCGAGCCCGUGCGAGCUCUUCACGAUUUGCUGAGCCCAUGGAAACGGACCCACACCGUGUGGAGACAAUGGAAACACGUCGCGCUCGACGUUCAAACACUCUGUUUUAUAACGCACCUACAACUAUUAUUAUUACAUUCAUAGCAAAGUUGAUAAUAUGAGAAAUCUAACAUAAGCAGUAAUGUAAUUCUGACGCUCAGUUUUGGCUGCGCAGUUUUGACUGCCCGGGCAAGACCGAGAACUGCCCAGGCCAAUCUUUAGCAGCUUUUGUAACUGCGCGAACUGGCUUGCGCAGGUAAGCUCUUAGGUAAGACGGAGCGUGUAGCCGGAGCUUUAGGGUUAGCGCAUAUAGACGGAGUGGAGUGGAGUGGAGGCGGCCUUUUUGGUAACAACUUUUUCACUCCACUUUGCCGGUGUGCCUUAUGCCUUAAGCUCUCUUCAAACUGAAUCGAUCGUAAGCGCGUACGACGCGCUACAAUUUGUAGCCAAUCUAAAAGUGGCCUAACUAUUUUUUAAAGUACAAAAUAUGUUUUUUCAGAACUCGUGCUAGUCUGUAUAUUUUAGGUUUUUAUAUGUCAACGAACCAAUGACCUACCUAGAGUAUUUCUUUGAAGAACUGUCGAGUGCGAUACCUAACAAUUACUUAAAUAGAAUAAAGAAAAAUUAUUUUGGUCACAUUUUAUCGAAUCGGUGAAUUUUAUGAAACUAUACAUUUAAAAUAAAUAAGGCAGGCUUGGUGCAAAGUGUAUGUGUUUAAGCUUACUACUCAGUAAUGAGGUAUUUGUAAUCAUCCCUUACUUUUUUUGUAUAUUUAUUGGUAUCGCUCACUAUACUUUAGUACUACACUGUACUUUAGUAACCGGUUGGCCAAAGAAAGGUGUAGCUUCUAUACUUGCCUGUCCGGUUAGACGUAGUGUGCGAUGACCUUUAUUCUUUUUAUUUUGUAUACCGAAAUAUAACUUGGAUAUCAUUGUAAACGUAGUUAUCCAUGGUUAUAUGAAAAUAAUGUAUAACAUUAUUCAACGUCAGGUUAAGUAUUAUUUUAUUAGUGUUAAUAUUUAUUUAUUUUUAAUCAAUAAUUUUUAAUUUAUGACUGAGUUAAGUAUUUACAUUAAUCAAAUCAAUAAAUCGUAACUGGCUAACAGCUAUUGUUAGGCUUAGUCUGCACUACGAAAUUUCCCCGCACGGUUGUCUCCGCAAAGUUGACGUCAUAUUAUGGUAAUUGAGUGCGUGCGGUUUUAUACAUACAUCACAUAUUACGAGUAUGUCACAGAAUUCUACGAGAAAAAUCGCGCGGUGAUAUUUCGCAGUGCGGACGUAGGCUUUUGUUUAUCUAAUUUUUCAUAUUGUUGUAUUAUUGACAUCAGUAUUUUUAUAUUUUCAUUAUUAAUUGAAAUAAUUUAACAUUUCAUACAAUAAUUAAAUCAAAUUAACUAACUUUUAUAUUUUUCAAACAUGACCAAAAAAAUGUGAUUUUUUAUGAAUUUUCUGCACUUAUUUGGCCAAAGAUCGCAAAGUAUUACUAACAAUUUUUUUUUCCAUUUUAUCAUUAAGUGGUUUUAUUGAAAGUACAAUAAUUACAACAAAUUAUGCAAUACCAAUAAUUAGGCUGCAAUAAGUUUGAUAUUUUCUUACUUUUAUCUAAGCUUAGCUUAUAAAUGUUCAUGUUGGGUAUUUUUGCGAAGUAAUUUGCGCAUUUUCAAUUGAUUUAUAGUAAGUAGGUAGUUUUAACAAAUGUAUUAAUUAAAUUAAUAUUCUCUACCAAUAUUAAACAAGGAUAACAUAAGUUAUAAAUAAUUUCAAUUGAUUUCUUGUCAAAUAUGCAUGGUAGGACUACAAGGAUACUCGAUAUAAAAUUAAGUACGUAGCCUUUUAUGUUAAGGUACGUAAAGCAUUUCGCAAUUGUGUGCAGAUUAUUAUCUUUAAAGAACUUUUGUACAAUUUGUGAAAUUGCUACUUUGAAAUAAUUUCCACUAUGUGAAAUUGUUUUUCCAUCAUAGUGAUUUCACAGGCGAUUUUCGUGAAAUGAAACACCUAUAAUACCCCUUUCAUACUUGAUAGAGGUGUUAGAGAAAAGGAUAAAAUAUAUUGCUUUUUAAGUUUUACUGUCAUAGAACUAUUGUAGUUACUACACAUUAGUAUUUGUUGAAUUUCUCGUUAUUAAUACCUAUACAAUUUGUUGUCAAAAAUUAUAAAUUUUUGGCUAGGUAUUUGUUUAAAAUAUAAAACUUUAAGCUUUGCUAAAUUAAAUUAUUUACUUAUUUUUUAAAUUACAUUAUACAAUUGACUGAAAGAUUGUGUGAUUUAAGGUUUAUGGCGUAGUAGUUUUAAACUGGAGGUCCUAACAUCUAAAACGCUUAAAAUCUAGCCACGUGGGACCAAAGGGACCGUAGGAGAUAGAGCUGGUUAUCUGAAUGACCUGGGUUGUCGCAGUUGUACCCAACUGUCGCCGUGUUCCGACCUCGCUCUCCUACCUAUUGUAAGCAAAGAUGUGAAUGUAACAGAAAAUAUAUGAUUUGUUCUCGUUCUUUA